Molecule: long non-coding RNA, 337 nt
Organism: Liolophura sinensis
Lineage: Eukaryota; Metazoa; Mollusca; Polyplacophora; Chitonida; Chitonidae
Exons: 3
Source: RefSeq, a predicted model, not a curated record
UGAGAAGAGGAAGAGACUGCCAUCAUUUCUCACAUCCGUGUGGAAUCAGCAUAUUUGCGAAAACGUGUUCAUAAAUCAGGGGCAGAUAACCCAACAGCUCAUUCCUGUCGCCUGCUCUUCAGAUUGUUGUGAUGGAGUUCAGCUCAACAGUCAGUGGGACGUGACCAGUCAGUGUUGCAUACAGUAUCUCAGGUGUAAAUCUUGUUCUCAUGGAGACACAAAUGUUAUCCUAGGAGCACGCAUUGCUCUAGCAUCUGAAAACAGUGACUUUAAGCCCGGACAGAUUUGGCUUCAGGCGACUACUGUGACGUGAUAAAAGGAAAGGGAAGUGUGGAGG